AUGGUUAACGUUAUGAUGAAGACCAAUCCUGACCCAGUGGUUCUAGCUAAAGCCAUGAAAGCUAGAAAAAGCGUUGUGCAAAUCUAUCACGUCAAGAAAAUUGAUGGGAAGAAGUGCACCACUAGCUCCGGCACUGGUUUCAUCAUCAAGACCAGAGAUGCAGAUUGUGUUGUGGUAACUAACAGGCACGUGACUGCUGGAAAGGAACCUUUCGACGAAGCUAAUGACAAGCUCUUUGUUAGAUUUAUCCGUGGGAGUGGUGGAGUUGAGGACCGACCUGGUCUUCUAAGGUUUUAUGACUUCUUCGUGGACCUUGCUUUUAUUGAAGUCCAAGGACUGAGGGGGAAAAUGCCACCAGCUCUACGUUUUACUAUGGCAAGUGAAUUGCAAAUUGGGACAAGUGUUGUUGCCAUUGGCUACUGCAAUACAAGUGGCGUGACACGGCCAGAUCCAGAUAUGCCUGAAGUUUAUGCUAGGAUUCCAUCGGUUUGCCCUGCAUUGAUUGCUGGACCAGUGUGGCGAAAGGGAGAAGAUGACAAGGAUGAGGAAGAGGAAGACGAUGAAGAAGAAGACGAGGAUGAAGGGCACGAACAGUGGCUGCACCUUGACUCUCCAUCGAGGGAUGGAUGCUCAGGAGGCCCUGUGAUGUGCGCGCGUGGUGUCAUUGGAGUCGUUGCUCAGGCUGCCCUACAGAUUACUGCGUCCGUUAGCACUGAAUCAGUACAUGAAGUGCUGAAACGGUGGCUCGGCAUUCCAUUGGAGGAUGACAGGAGUGUGCAGGCGAUCAUCGAUACAUUACUGUGA
This 804-nucleotide ribosomal RNA is filed under the name Triticum aestivum (bread wheat). RNAcentral describes it as "partial small subunit ribosomal RNA". The record is from RNAcentral. Lineage: Eukaryota; Viridiplantae; Streptophyta; Magnoliopsida; Poales; Poaceae.